This 253-nucleotide ribosomal RNA is filed under the name uncultured bacterium. RNAcentral's name for it is "partial 16S ribosomal RNA". It matches the Rfam family "Bacterial small subunit ribosomal RNA", at positions 524 to 776 of the family's 1533-position model. The record is from RNAcentral.
UACGAAGGGCGCUAGCGUUGCUCGGAAUGACUGGGCGUAAAGGGCGCGUAGGCGGCUUACCUAGUUAGGCGUGAAAUUCCUGGGCUCAACCUGGGGACUGCGUCUAAUACAUGUAGGCUUGAGUGUGAAAGAGGGUCGUGGAAUUUCCAGUGUAGAGGUGAAAUUCGUAGAUAUUGGAAAGAACACCGGUGGCGAAGGCGGCGACCUGGUUCAUUACUGACGCUGAGGCGCGAAAGCGUGGGGAGCAAACUGG